UACGUAGGGUGCGAGCGUUGUCCGGAAUUAUUGGGCGUAAAGAGCUCGUAGGCGGCCUGUCGCGUCGGAUGUGAAAGCCCGGGGCUUAACCCCGGGUCUGCAUUCGAUACGGGCAGGCUAGAGGUAGGUAGGGGAGAAUGGAAUUCCCGGUGUAGCGGUGAAAUGCGCAGAUAUCGGGAGGAACACCGGUGGCGAAGGCGGGUCUCUGGGCCGAUACUGACGCUGAGGAGCGAAAGCGUGGGAGCGAACAGG
This 252-nucleotide ribosomal RNA is filed under the name uncultured bacterium. RNAcentral's name for it is "partial 16S ribosomal RNA". It matches the Rfam family "Bacterial small subunit ribosomal RNA", at positions 524 to 776 of the family's 1533-position model. The record is from RNAcentral.